CGCAGGGGGUAAGAGUCCCGUAGUUAAAAGGUUGAUAGAUUUAGAAUGUAUCCUGAGACGGCGGAACACGAGGAAUUCCGCCGGAAUCCGGGAGGACCAUCUCCCAAGGCUAAAUACUCCUUGGUAACCGAUAGUGAACCAGUACCGUGAGGGAAAGGUGAAAAGCACCCCGGAAGGGGAGUGAAAUAGAACCUGAAACCGUGUGCUUACAAGUAGUCAGAGCCCGUUAAUGGGUGAUGGCGUGCCUUUUGUAGAAUGAACCGGCGAGUUACGAUUUGAUGCAAGGUUAAGCAGUAAAUGUGGAGCCGCAGCGAAAGCGAGUCUGAAUAGGGCGAAUGAGUAUAUGUUUGUAGACGCGAAACCAGGUGAUCUACCCAUGACCAGGCUGAAGUUCAGGUAACACUGAAUGGAGGCCGAACCGACUUACGUUGAAAAGUGACGGAUGAGUGUGGGUAGCGGAGAAAUUCCAAUCGAACCUGGAGAUAGCUCGUUCUCUCCGAAAUAUAUUUAGGUAUAGCCUCAUAUUAGCAUCGUGGAGGUAGAGCACUGUUUGGAUGAGGGGCCCAUCCCGGGUUACCGAGUUCAGACAAACUCCGAAUGCCACAGAUGUGAUGUAUGGGAGUCAGACAGUGGGUGAUAAGGUCCAUUGUCGAGAGGGAAACAGCCCAGACCACCAGUUAAGGUCCCCAAAAUAUAUGUUAAGUGGAAAAGGAUGUGGCGUUGCACAGACAACUAGGAUGUUGGCUUAGAAGCAGCCAUCAUUUAAAGAGUGCGUAAUAGCUCACUAGUCAAGUGACGCUGCGCCGAAAAUGUACCGGGGCUAAACAUAUUACCGAAACUGUGGAUUAAAAUUUAUUUUAAUGGUAGGAGAGCGUUCUAAGUGCGGCGAAGCAUGAUCGUAAGGACAUGUGGAGCGCUUAGAAGUGAGAAUGCCGGUGUGAGUAGCGAAAGACGGGUGAGAAUCCCGUCCACCGACGACUAAGGUUUCCAGAGGUAGGCUCGUCCCCCCCCCCCCCCCCCCCCGAAGCGAUGGGGGGACGCAGUAGGAUAGGCGAAGCGUACUAUUGGAUUGUACGUCCAAGCAGUAAGACUGAGUGUUAGGCAAAUCCGGCACUCUUAAGGUCAAGCUGUGAUGGGGAGAGGAAAUUGUUUCCUCGAGUCGUUGAUUUCACACUGCCGAGAAAAGCCUCUAGCUAGAAUUGUGGUGCCCGUACCGCAAACCGACACAGGUAGUCAAGAUGAGAAUUCUAAGGUGAGCGAGCGAACUCUCGUUAAGGAACUCGGCAAAAUGACCCCGUAACUUCGGGAGAAGGGGUGCUCUUUAGGGUUAACGCCCAGGAGAGCCGCAGUGAAUAGGCCCAAGCGACUUCUAAACCGUGAGUAUGCCGCCCGGUGCUGGAAGGUUAAGAGGAGUUAGCCGCGAAUACGGAAGCCCCAGUAAACGGCGGCCGUAACAAUAACGGUCCUAAGGUAGCGAAAUUCCUUGUCGGGUAAGUUCCGACCCGCACGAAAGGCGUAACGAUUUGGGCACUGUCUCAACGAGAGACUCGGUGAAAUCAUAGUACCUGUGAAGAUGCAGGUUACCCGCGACAGGACGGAAAGACCCCGUGGAGCUUUACUGUAGUCUGAUAUUGAAAUUCGGUACAGCUUGUACAGGAUAGGUAGGAGCCUGAGAUACGUGAGCGCUAGCUUACGUGGAGGCGUUGGUGGGAUACUACCCUAAAUGUAUUGAACUUCUAACCCUUACCCCUGAUCGGGGUAGGAGACAGUGUCAGGCGGACAGUUUGACUGGGGCGGUCGCCUCCUAAAAAGGUAACGGAGGCGCCCAAAGGUUCCCUCAGAAUA
RNAcentral lists this ribosomal RNA (1845 nucleotides) under Dermanyssus gallinae. Its description in RNAcentral is "bacterial LSU rRNA". It matches the Rfam family "Bacterial large subunit ribosomal RNA", at positions 354 to 2329 of the family's 2925-position model. The record is from RNAcentral. Lineage: Eukaryota; Metazoa; Arthropoda; Arachnida; Mesostigmata; Dermanyssidae.